Syngnathus typhle (broad-nosed pipefish) is the source of this 364-nucleotide long non-coding RNA. RefSeq lists it as uncharacterized. The transcript is spliced from 2 exons. The record is from RefSeq and is a predicted model, not a curated record. Lineage: Eukaryota; Metazoa; Chordata; Actinopteri; Syngnathiformes; Syngnathidae.
GCCUGGCGCGCAGUGAUGCGUCACGGUUACCGUCACUGGACCAAUGUUGCCCAACGCAAUCAAGACUGAGAGAUAGGCCGGCAAAUUCCAACCUGUAAUGACAACACAGAUACUAAAAAAAAAAGGGAGCAAAAUCUUGCGGAUGAAUGCCAAGAAGCGACCACUGACCUUCGGGCAGCACGCUUACGAUGACCGGGAGCUCGACCCACAAACUGUUGACGGAAAUCCACGAGCCCAUUGCGAACAGCGCCAUAAGGCCGUGGGUCACCGCAUCGCUGCUCCACCAGCCGGCCGACAUGACGCCGCCGACUUUGACCCAAGGAAGGGAGAAGAAAUUACGGAGAGUAAGCCGGUGAGCGCGGUU